Raphanus sativus (radish) is the source of this 524-nucleotide long non-coding RNA. RefSeq lists it as uncharacterized. NCBI's taxonomy places the organism in Eukaryota, Viridiplantae, Streptophyta, Magnoliopsida, Brassicales, Brassicaceae. The record is from RefSeq and is a predicted model, not a curated record. The transcript has 2 exons.
GAUGGCCUUCAUCAUUUACUCCACUGUUUCGCCGCCUAGACCUUCCUUCAACGCUUCACGACGUAACCCUAAUCCUUCAGAUAACCACCCUGAUUUUCUCCGACAGCUUCUUUAUCUCCCUUGCGUACUCCUCAAUGUCCUCAUUCACCUUCCUGUCCCAUACAAAAAAAAAAUAGGAAUACAUACACAAAAAGUAAUAGAUCAUUCUAUGAAGUACAAGAGUCAAACAUUUUGCGAGUUGUAGUAUGAACUUGAGUGGAGCGUAAAUCUCUCUCCAUGAUCAUGGGCCGAAGAGAAAGGAAAGGAGCUACAGAAUUUACCGCUCUGCCUUUGUUGGCCUUUUCUCAUUAGACAGAGGAACACUAGGUAAAAUUUUGUACUGGAAGCCUUCCAUCUGAUGAAAUCUGUCUCCAUCUUAUUCAGUGUUUCCUAAUUUGUUUAUAUUAUUAUCACAGUGCUGCAAUUGUAAUUAAACAUUUCAAGCAGUGUAAUAUUUCUCAAUCAGAUGAUGUGGAAUUGCUGUU